AUGAACGCUGGCGGCGUGCCUAAUACAUGCAAGUCGAGCGAACAGACGAGGAGCUUGCUCCUCUGACGUUAGCGGCGGACGGGUGAGUAACACGUGGAUAACCUACCUAUAAGCCUGGGAUAACUUCGGGAAACCGGAGCUAAUACCGGAUAAUAUAUUGAACCGCAUGGUUCAAUAGUGAAAGACGGUUUUGCUGUCACUUAUAGCUGGAUCCGCGCCGCAUUAGCUAGUUGGUAAGGUAACGGCUUACCAAGGCAACGAUGCGUAGCCGACCUGAGAGGCUGAUCGGCGACACUAGAACUGAGACACGGACCAGACUCCUACGGGAGGCAGCAGUAGGGAAUCUUACGCAAAGGGCGAAAACCUUGCGGAGCAACGCCGCGUGAGUGAUGAAGGUCUUCGGAUCGUAAAACUCUGUUAUUAGGGAAGAACAAAUGUGUAAGUAACUAUGCACGUCUUGACGGUACCUAAUCAGAAAGCCACGGCUAACUACGUG
This 496-nucleotide ribosomal RNA is filed under the name uncultured bacterium. Its description in RNAcentral is "partial 16S ribosomal RNA". It matches the Rfam family "Bacterial small subunit ribosomal RNA", at positions 29 to 507 of the family's 1533-position model. The record is from RNAcentral.